AACGAACGCUGGCGGCAGGCCUAACACAUGCAAGUCGAGCGCACCCUUCGGGGUGAGCGGCGGACGGGUUAGUAACGCGUGGGAACAUACCCUUUUCUACGGAAUAGCCUCGGGAAACUGAGAGUAAUACCGUAUACGCCCUUCGGGGGAAAGAUUUAUCGGAGAAGGAUUGGCCCGCGUUAGAUUAGAUAGUUGGUGGGGUAACGGCCUACCAAGUCUACGAUCUAUAGCUGGUUUUAGAGGAUGAUCAGCAACACUGGGACUGAGACACGGCCCAGACUCCUACGGGAGGCAGCAGUGGGGAAUCUUAGACAAUGGGCGCAAGCCUGAUCUAGCCAUGCCGCGUGUGUGAUGAAGGCCUUAGGGUCGUAAAGCACUUUCGCCAGGGAUGAUAAUGACAGUACCUGGUAAAGAAACCCCGG
Molecule: ribosomal RNA, 422 nt
Filed under: uncultured bacterium
Lineage: Bacteria
Description: bacterial SSU rRNA
Rfam family: Bacterial small subunit ribosomal RNA
Source: RNAcentral